GACGAACCGAGCGAACGUUAUUCGGAAUCACUGGGCUUAAAGGGCGCGUAGGCGGGCGGUCAAGUCCGGGGUGAAAGCCCCCAGCUCAACUGGGGAAGUGCCUCGGAUACUGGCCGCCUCGAGGGGGAUAGGGGCGUGCGGAACUUCCGGUGGAGCGGUGAAAUGCGUAGAUAUCGGAAGGAACACCGAUGGCGAAAGCAGCGCGCUGGAUCCCUUCUGACGCUGAGGCGCGAAAGCCAGGGGAGCGAACGGGAUUAGAAACCCCCGUAGUCC
Molecule: ribosomal RNA, 273 nt
Filed under: uncultured bacterium
Lineage: Bacteria
Description: partial 16S ribosomal RNA
Rfam family: Bacterial small subunit ribosomal RNA
Source: RNAcentral